RNAcentral lists this ribosomal RNA (253 nucleotides) under uncultured bacterium. Its description in RNAcentral is "partial 16S ribosomal RNA". It matches the Rfam family "Bacterial small subunit ribosomal RNA", at positions 524 to 776 of the family's 1533-position model. The record is from RNAcentral.
UACGUAGGGGGCAAGCGUUGUCCGGAAUUAUUGGGCGUAAAGAGCGUGUAGGCGGCUCGGUAAGUCCGCUCUGAAAGUCCAGGGCUCAACCCUGGGAUGCGGGUGGAUACUGCCGGGCUCGAGUCCGGAAGAGGCGAGUGGAAUUCCCGGUGUAGCGGUGAAAUGCGCAGAUAUCGGGAGGAACACCGGUGGCGAAGGCGCUCAUCUGGCCCAAUACUGACGCUGAGGCGCGAAAGCUAGGGUAGCGAACGGG